UCUUCCUCACAUGUUUGUUGAUGACUGGUGUCCACCCCCCUCUCUCUAUCUUGCUUCCCUUGCUCAGUUCUACUACUCUGAUUCCAUACUUCUUUCUGAACAUCAUACCUUGCCUUUGGGUUAAAAUUUGGAGACAUUGAAGACGGGAGGAUUAGGAUGUUGAUAAUUAUAAGCAGAGGGUUGAUGAGAUAAAUUAAAAUGGGAAGGGGCAAAGUUGCCUGGUGCAAAAGAGAAUUGAUGAUUAAGGUUUUUUGGAACUUUUAAAUGGUGGGAAGGGUUGAAAGGGGAGGUGGUGAACUGGUGGUUCAGAUGGGUUGGAAUUGCUGGACGUGCGUAGGAUUGACUCUUCAUUAUUCUCCCUCUCUCUCCUAGGGUUUUGAUAUGCUGACUGUUUAUCAGAUUACCCAACUAUAAACCAGAAAAUGAAGCCUACCCCCUCUGUGUGUAACUGUUACAAGUAACAAACCCAAAUCAACCUCUAAAUCUGUAAAUCAGACCCAAAUUGAAACCUUCCAACCCUAAAUCACUACAAAUCAGUAACCCAAACCCCAAAUCAAUCUCCCGAUCAACAACAAAUCACCCCGAAAUCAACAAAACACAAAACCCCGUAACACAAAUCUUACCACGCAAGGAUGCCUGCGACGAUUGAAUCUAUGGGGGAUCCUGCUGACAUAUAUGCCCUUAUCCUGCUGA
Molecule: long non-coding RNA, 693 nt
Filed under: Actinidia chinensis (golden kiwifruit)
Lineage: Eukaryota; Viridiplantae; Streptophyta; Magnoliopsida; Ericales; Actinidiaceae
Description: long non-coding RNA (ACHI_LNC005839)
Source: RNAcentral